This 450-nucleotide ribosomal RNA is filed under the name Camellia saluenensis. RNAcentral's name for it is "eukaryotic LSU rRNA". It matches the Rfam family "Eukaryotic large subunit ribosomal RNA", at positions 2927 to 3401 of the family's 3401-position model. Lineage: Eukaryota; Viridiplantae; Streptophyta; Magnoliopsida; Ericales; Theaceae. The record is from RNAcentral.
GAUUGUUCACCCACCAAUAGGGAACGUGAGCUGGGUUUAGACCAUCGUGAGACUGGUUAGUUUUACCCUACAAAUGACAAUAUCACAAUAGUAAUUCAACGUAGUACGAGAGGAACCGUUGAUUCGCACAAUUGGUCAUCGCGCUUGGCUGAAAAGCCAGUGGCACGAAGCUACCGUGCGCUGGAUUAUGACUGAAUGCCUCUAACUCAGAAUUUGGGCUAGAAGCGACGCAUUUGACUGGCCUAGCCCCCAAAGGCACGUGUCAUUGGUGAAGCCCGUGCGGCUAAUGAGCUACGUAAGCCGCCUUAAAGUACAAUUCCUAUCUCGAGCGGCGGGUAGAAUCCUUUGCAUCUGACGUAAUUACAUGACGGGGUAUUGUAAGUGGCGGAGUGGCCUUGCUGCCAUGAUCCACUGAGAUUCAGGCUGGCGUCGCUCCGAUUCCUCCCUCCC